This 230-nucleotide ribosomal RNA is filed under the name uncultured bacterium. Its description in RNAcentral is "partial 16S ribosomal RNA". It matches the Rfam family "Bacterial small subunit ribosomal RNA", at positions 568 to 796 of the family's 1533-position model. The record is from RNAcentral.
UGCGUAGGCGGAAAAUUAAGUCAGUGGUGAAAUCCUGCAGCUCAACUGUAGAACUGUCAUUGAUACUGAUUUUCUUGAAUUUAGUUGAGGUAGGCGGAAUGUGUAAUGUAGCGGUGAAAUGCUUAGAUAUUACACAGAACACCGAUUGCGAAGGCAGCUUACUAAGCUAACAUUGACGCUGAGGCACGAAAGCGUGGGGAGCGAACAGGAUUAGAUACCCCUGGUAGUCC